This 388-nucleotide long non-coding RNA is filed under the name Ananas comosus (pineapple). RNAcentral describes it as "long non-coding RNA (ACOM_LNC042122)". The record is from RNAcentral. Lineage: Eukaryota; Viridiplantae; Streptophyta; Magnoliopsida; Poales; Bromeliaceae.
GUUGGCCCAAAACAAUAAAAUACAAAUAAAAAAAAUAAAAAUCUUUCCAAAUACCUCGCCUAGAUCAAAAAAAAAAAAAAAAAAUUUUUUCGAAUUUUUACUUAAUUAGCUUAAUUUUGUAGCUAUUUAUUCUUAUAUUUUUAAAAGAUAUGAAUAUUUAUGCUAAUAGCAUAAAUCUUGAGAGAAAAAAAUUUAAUUUAAUAGCCGAAUUUUUUAUCCCGAAUUUUUAAUUAGUAAACGUAUAAUAUCCGUAUAAAUCACGUAUCCGAAUAAUUGAUAAAUCCGUUUUUUAGCCGUAUUUUUCAACGAAUUUAAAAAUUCGAAGACGAAUUUUAUCCGAAUUAUACCCGUACCGAAUUUUUGCCGAAUCCGAAUUAACUAACUAUGG